GUAACGGGGCUAAACCAUGCACCGAAGCUGCGGCAGCGACGCUGAUGCGUUGUUGGGUAGGGGAGCGUUCUGUAAGCCUGCGAAGGUGUGCUGUGAGGCAUGCUGGAGGUAUCAGAAGUGCGAAUGCUGACAUAAGUAACGAUAAAGCGGGUGAAAAGCCCGCUCGCCGGAAGACCAAGGGUUCCUGUCCAACGUUAAUCGGGGCAGGGUGAGUCGACCCCUAAGGCGAGGCCGAAAGGCGUAGUCGAUGGGAAACAGGUUAAUAUUCCUGUACUUGGUGUUACUGCGAAGGGGGGACGGAGAAGGCUAUGUUGGCCGGGCGACGGUUGUCCCGGUUUAAGCGUGUAGGCUGGUUUUCCAGGCAAAUCCGGAAAAUCAAGGCUGAGGCGUGAUGACGAGGCACUACGGUGCUGAAGCAACAAAUGCCCUGCUUCCAGGAAAAGCCUCUAAGCAUCAGGUAACAUCAAAUCGUACCCCAAACCGACACAGGUGGUCAGGUAGAGAAUACCAAGGCGCUUGAGAGAACUCGGGUGAAGGAACUAGGCAAAAUGGUGCCGUAACUUCGGGAGAAGG
This 573-nucleotide ribosomal RNA is filed under the name Escherichia coli. RNAcentral describes it as "partial 23S ribosomal RNA". It matches the Rfam family "Bacterial large subunit ribosomal RNA", at positions 1172 to 1746 of the family's 2925-position model. The record is from RNAcentral. Lineage: Bacteria; Pseudomonadati; Pseudomonadota; Gammaproteobacteria; Enterobacterales; Enterobacteriaceae.